This 295-nucleotide long non-coding RNA is filed under the name Gossypium barbadense (sea-island cotton). RNAcentral's name for it is "long non-coding RNA (GBAR_LNC006285)". Lineage: Eukaryota; Viridiplantae; Streptophyta; Magnoliopsida; Malvales; Malvaceae. The record is from RNAcentral.
UUGCUCUAUGCUCAAUCCUGCUCUCAACCAUAGUAACCUCGAACGAUUGAUCACAAUCAAAUUGGUCGCCAGCCUCUUACAGGUUUGAGAUGACAGCUUCAUAGGAGACAAAUAGCUUAGAAGGUUGAAGGGAGGAUAAACAGAUAAACUCAAGGGAUCAGCUUUAAAGUCCCUGUGCAUUUCAUCAAAAACAAUGUGGGUAAGAAACUGCUGCUAAUUUUGGGGGGAAAAUGCCAGUUUAUAUCCAAAAUGAGGUGAAAAAGAUGGUCUAAAAUAAAGAAAGAAGGGACCCAAC